This is a long non-coding RNA of Micropterus salmoides (largemouth bass), 708 nucleotides long. RefSeq lists it as uncharacterized. The record is from RefSeq and is a predicted model, not a curated record. NCBI's taxonomy places the organism in Eukaryota, Metazoa, Chordata, Actinopteri, Centrarchiformes, Centrarchidae. The transcript has 2 exons.
CUGAACGCUGCUUCUCCUUGUUUAGUUUUGACUCUGGGGACAGAAAGCUGACCUGAGAGGUCUGGAUGAUUUGUAAUGAAGCAGAAGAUCGGAAAUGUAUUUUGGCCCUAAACCAUUUAGUGCUUGAAUUGAAUAUAUUGGUAUCUUAGCACUGACAAAUUAACAAAUAUAUGAGGUUUGUGCAUGAUUUUGUGUAUUUCACCAUCUUUCUGUCAGUCACAACAGAUCUCUGUCACAAAGCACAAGUUGAAGGACAUGAUUUAGCUCUACCUUCUGUCACGGCCCCCGGCCCCUGAUCCCCUCCAGUGACAGUGUGUGUAUGGGUGAAUGAUUUUUGAUUUGUUUUUUGCACUUUGAGUGUUUGCCGUGUACCUGGUGUUUGUCUGUCUCUCCUUCCUUGUUUCCCAGAACUGGUGGGUGUGGUCUUCAGUUCCUCACGGCUGUGGCGCACCUGUUGGGUAUUGCCUCAUCACCACUCCCUAUUUAACCCUGGCCAACUCACCUGUCCUUGCUGGAUUGUUGUGUAACUAUGGAAACCUGCCCUGGAUCUCAGGUCUUCCCCGCCAGUCAGCGCAACCCUCAGGAGUGUCCUCCGCCUCGCCUCGCCUGCCCUGCUUGCCUUCUCCUACGGAGCCUGGACCUUGCCCCUCUCCCCCGUCAGUUUUCCCUCUGUCAUUUCAUCAAUAAAGCUCUCUUGUUCAUCCCCCA